AUGGAUAGAUCAUCGUAUUUUUCCUUUCUAUGGUCACUCCUGGUACCACUGACCAUCUGUGAAGAGAGAGCCUGCCUUAUUAUGCUGCUGUUGUGUGUGGCUGUCAAAUUUAUUGCCAGAUACUCAGAGCAGCAUCCCUGGCGUCUGCUCAUCGCAUUACAGUAUCUCCCCCAAAAUGUGGCAGUCAAAAAUGUCUUCAGACCUUGUCAGAUGUCCUCGGUGGGGCACACUUUCGACAGUUGAGAACUACUGUGUCAGUUUAAAGAUUUUCUGAGGAUGAAA
This 282-nucleotide long non-coding RNA is filed under the name Fukomys damarensis (Damara mole-rat). Its description in RNAcentral is "lncRNA (ENSFDAG00000025805.1)". The record is from RNAcentral. Lineage: Eukaryota; Metazoa; Chordata; Mammalia; Rodentia; Bathyergidae.